This 489-nucleotide ribosomal RNA is filed under the name uncultured bacterium. RNAcentral describes it as "partial 16S ribosomal RNA". It matches the Rfam family "Bacterial small subunit ribosomal RNA", at positions 30 to 507 of the family's 1533-position model. The record is from RNAcentral.
AUUGAACGCUGGCGGCAGGCCUAACACAUGCAAGUCGAACGGUAACAGGAAGCAGCUUGCUGCUUUGCUGACGAGUGGCGGACGGGUGAGUAAUGUCUGGGAAACUGCCCGAUGGAGGGGGAUAACUACUGGAAACGGUAGCUAAUACCGCAUAACGUCGCAAGACCAAAGAGGGGGACCUUAGGGCCUCUUGCCAUCGGAUGUGCCCAGAUGGGAUUAGCUAGUAGGUGGGUAACGGCUCACCUAGGCGACGAUCCCUAGCUGGUCUGAGAGGAUGACCAGCCACACUGGAACUGAGACACGGUCCAGACUCCUACGGGAGGCAGCAGUGGGGAAUAUUGCACAAUGGGCGCAAGCCUGAUGCAGCCAUGCCGCGUGUAUGAAGAAGGCCUUCGGGUUGUAAAGUACUUUCAGCGGGGAGGAAGGGAGUAAAGUUAAUACCUUUGCUCAUUGACGUUACCCGCAGAAGAAGCACCGGCUAACUCCGUG